GAAACUAUACUGGCUGUCUUGGGUCAUCUCCUCAUCUUGCAUAUACUUUAUCAUCUCUUCCAGGAGGAUCCACUCCAUGAUCUUCCCAGACACAAAGCCUGGAAUGAUCAUGUCUUUUGAACAAGUCACUUCUGGAAGACUGACGUUUAUCAAAAUGUUACACAGACAACCUGAGAAUGAAAUGCUGAGCCAAAAUGAAUGGAUAUCAUCAAUAAUAUCAGUAAGUAAGUCAGAAUGGUCC
This is a long non-coding RNA of Lagopus leucura (white-tailed ptarmigan), 241 nucleotides long. RefSeq lists it as uncharacterized. The transcript is spliced from 3 exons. The record is from RefSeq and is a predicted model, not a curated record. Lineage: Eukaryota; Metazoa; Chordata; Aves; Galliformes; Phasianidae.